This is a long non-coding RNA of Micropterus dolomieu (smallmouth bass), 4397 nucleotides long. RefSeq lists it as uncharacterized. The record is from RefSeq and is a predicted model, not a curated record. The transcript is spliced from 5 exons. Lineage: Eukaryota; Metazoa; Chordata; Actinopteri; Centrarchiformes; Centrarchidae.
GAUGUUGUAAUUCUUUGCAACGUUCCUAAGGUAAGCUGGUGAGUUUUUCUUUUGAUCAAGGCCCAGAUGUUUGGGUAGACACUUCAAGUAUACUGCUACAUUUUGCUAACACUUGAUGACGUCUACUCAUAGUAGCAUGUCUUCACCAUACUCCAUGUAAAAAAUUGUCUAUUUGAGGAGAAAAGUCCUUUUUUCUGAUUUUAUUUCUUGUUUUCAACAGAUCAGGUCAUUAAGAAAACAGAUUUGAAUGAAACUGGAUGGAGUCACAGGUUUUAAACUACCAUCAAAUGUUCUUAAGGUAAGCUGAUGAUUUUUAGUUUUUUAUCAGGCUUAUAGGUUUGGGAAGACACCUCAUGCGUACUGCUACAUUUUACUCACACUUGAUCAUUUCUACUGAUCGCUGCAUGUUCUCACUGUACCACAUGUAAAAAAUUGUCUAUUUUAGGAUAUUUCUCUUGUUGUCAUCUCAUCAGGUCAUUAAGAAAACAGAUUUGAAUGAAACUGGAUGGAGUCACAGACUUCAAACUAAAGUCAAACGUUCGUAAGGUAACCUGAUGAUUUUUAAUAUUGAUCAAGGUCUAUAAGUGCCGUAGACAUCUCAAGUGUGUUGCUACAUUUCACUCACACUUGAUAACCUCUACUCAUCGUAGAAUGUCUUCACCAUACCGCAUGCAAAAAAAUUUUUUAUGUAAAGCUUAAGGUUGGUGUUAUUCUGUAUUUGUUGUGUUGUCAAUUAAUCCACUUAUUAAGAAAACACAUUUUCUUGAUGCUGGAAUGUGUCUCAGAUGUCAUAAUUCUUUGCAACGUUCCUAAGGUAAGCUGGUGAGUUUUUCUUUUGAUCAAGGCCCAGAUGUUUGGGUAGACACUUCAAGUGUACUGCUACAUUUUGCUAACACUUGAUGACGUCUACUCAUAGUAGCAUGUCUUCACCAUACUGCAUGUAAAAAGUUGUCCAUUUAAAGAUUAAGGUUGAUGUUAUUCUGUAUUUUUUGUGUUGUCAAAUAAUCAAUUUAUUAAGUAAACAGAUCUUAUUGAUACUGGAGGGUGUCACAGAUGUCCAAAUAGCCUACUUUCUAACGUUCCUAAGGUAAGCUGGUGAAUUUUUCUUUUGAUCAAGGCCCAGAGGUUUGGGUAGACACUUCAAGUGUACUGCAACACUUGACAACGUCUACUCAUAGUACCAUGUCUUCACCAUGCCCCAUGUAAAAAAAUGUCGAUUUUAGGAAAACGGUUGUUUUUUCCCUGUGUUUCUCUUGUUGUCAUCUAAUCGUGUCAUUAAGAAAACAUAUUUAAAUAUUGAUCAAGACCUAGAAGUUUGGUAGACAUCUCAAGUAUGUUGCUACAUUUCACUCACACUUGAUGACGUCUACUCAUGGUAGCAUGUCUUCACCAUACCGCAUGCAAAAUAAAUGUCUAUUUGAGGAGAAAAGUCGUUUUUUUUUCAGAUUUUUUUUCGUGUUUUCAGCAGAUCAGGUCAUUAAGAAAACAGAUUUCAAUGAAAUUGGACGGAGUCACGGGUUUUAAACUAGCAUCAAAGGUUCCUAAGAUAACCUGAUGAUUUUUAAUAUUGAUCAAGGUCUAGAAAUAUGGGUAGACACUUCAAGUGUACUGCUACAUUUUACUAACACUUGAUGACGUCUACUCAUAGUAGCAUGUCUUCACCAUACUCCAUGUAAACAAUUGUCAAUUUGAGGAGAAAAGUCCGUUUUUUCUGAUGUUUUUUCUUGUUUUCAACAGAUCAGGUCAUUAAGAAAACAGAUUUGAAUAAAAUUGGGUGGAGUCACAGACUUCAAACUACAGUCAAACGAUCCUAAGGUAACCUGAUGAUUUUUAAUAUUGAUCAAGGUCUAUAAGUUUCGUAGACAUCUCAAGUGUGUUGCUACAUUUCACUCACACUUGAUAACCUCUACUCUUUGUAGAAUGUCUUCACCAUACUGCAUAUAAAAAUUUUUCAAUCUAAAGCUUAAGAUUGGUGUUAUUCUGUAUUUGUUGUGUUGUCAACCAAUCAAUUUAUUAAGAAAACACAUUUUCUUGAUGCUAGAAUGAGUCUCAGAUGUCAUAAUUCUUUCCAACGUUCCUAAGGUAAGCUGAUGAGUUUUUCUUUUGAUCAAGGCCCAGAUGUUUGGGUAGACACUUCAAGUGUACUGCUACAUUUUGCUAACACUUGAUGACGUCUACUCAUGGUAGCAUGUCUUCACCAUACUCCAUGUAAAAAAUUGUCUAUUUGAGGAGAAAAGUCCUUUUUUUCUGAUUUAUUUUCUUAUUUUAAACAGAUCAGGUCAUUAAGAAUACAGAUUUGAAUGAAACUGGAUGGAGUCACAGGUUUUAAACUACCAUCAAAUGUUCCUAAGGUAAGCUGGUGAGUUUUUCUUUUGAUCAAGGUCUAUAACUUUCGCUCUCAGGAAAGUGUGUUGCUACAUUUCACUCACACUUGAUAACCUCUACUCAUCGUAGCAUGUCUUCACCAUACCGCAUGCAAAAAAUUUUUUUAUGUAAAGCUUAAGGUUGGUGUUAUUCUGUAUUUGUUGUGUUGUCAAUUAAUCCACUUAUUAAGAAAACACAUUUUCUUGAUGCUGGAAUGUGUCUCAGAUGUUGUAAUUCUUUGCAACGUUCCUAAGGUAAGCUGGUGAGUUUUUCUUUUGAUCAAGGCCCAGAUGUUUGGGUAGGCACUUCAAGUGUACUGCUACAUUUUGCUAACACUUGAUGACGUCUACUCAUAGUAGCAUGUCUUCACCAUACUCCAUGUAAAAAAUUGUCUAUUUGAGGAGAAAAGUCCUUUUUUCUGAUUUUAUUUCUUGUUUUCAACAGAUCAGGUCAUUAAGAAAACAGAUUUGAAUGAAACUGGAUGGAGUCACAGGUUUUAAACUACCAUCAAAUGUUCUUAAGGUCAUUAAGAAAACAGAUUUGAAUGAAACUGGAUGGAGUCACAGACUUCAAACUACCAUCAAACGUUCCUAAGAUCAGGUCAUUAAGAAAACAGAUUUGAAUGAAAUUGGACGGAGUCACGGGUUUUAAACUAGCAUCAAAGGUUCCUAAGAUAACCUGAUGAUUUUUAAUAUUGAUCAAGGUCUAGAAAUAUGGGUAGACACUUCAAGUGUACUGCUACAUUUUACUAACACUUGAUGACGUCUACUCAUAGUAGCAUGUCUUCACCAUACUCCAUGUAAACAAUUAUCAAUUUGAGGAGAAAAGUCCGUUUUUUCUGAUGUUUUUUCUUGUUUUCAACAGAUCAGGUCAUUAAGAAAACAGAUUUGAAUAAAAUUGGGUGGAGUCACAGACUUCAAACUACAGUCAAACGAUCCUAAGGUAACCUGAUGAUUUUUAAUAUUGAUCAAGGUAUAUAAGUUUCGUAGACAUCUCAAGUGUGUUGCUACAUUUCACUCACACUUGAUAACCUCUACUCAUCGUAGAAUGUCUUCACCAUACUGCAUGUAAAAAUAAUUAAAUGUAAAGCUUAAGAUUGUUGUUAUUUCUGUAUUUGUUGUGUUGUCAACCAAUCAAUUUAUUAAGAAAACACAUUUUCUUGAUGCUGGAAUGAGUCUCAGAUGUCAUAAUUCUUUGCAACGUUCCUAAGGUAAGCUGAUGAGUUUUUCUUUUGAUCAAGGCCCAGAUGUUUGGGUAGGCACUUCAAGUGUACUGCUACAUUUUGCUAACACUUGAUGACGUCUACUCAUAGUAGCAUGUCUUCACCAUACCGCAUGCAAAAACUUUUUUUAUGUAAAGCUUAAGGUUGGUGUUAUUCUGUAUUUGUUGUGUUGUCAAUUAAUCCACUUAUUAAGAAAACACAUUUUCUUGAUGCUGGAAUGAGUCUCAGAUGUCAUAAUUCUUUGCAAUGUUCCUAAGGUAAGCUGGUGAGUUUUUCUUUUGAUCAAGGCCCAGAUGUUUGGGUAGACACUUCAAGUGUACUGCUACAUUUUGCUAACACUUGAUGACGUCUACUCAUAGUAGCAUGUCUUCACCAUACUCCAUGUAAAAAAUAUUCUAUAUUUUGAGAAAAAAUACCUUUUUUCUGAUUUUAUUUCUUGUUUUCAACAGAUCAGGUCAUUAAGAAAACAGAUUUGAAUCAAACUGGAUGGAGUCACAGGUUUUAAACUACCAUCAAAUGUUCUUAAGGUCAUUAAGAAAACAGAUUUGAAUGAAACUGGAUGGAGUCACAGACUUCAAACUACAGUCAAACGAUCCUAAGGUAACCUGAUGAUUUUUAAUAUUGAUCAAGGUCUAGAAGUUUCGUAGACAUCUCAAGUGUGUUGCUACAUUUCACUCACACUUGAUAACCUCUACUCAUCGUAGAAUGUCUUCACCAUACUGCAUAUAAAAAUAUUUCAAUGUAAAGCUUAAGAUCUCUGCCUCACUGCCACAAACAACUGUCUCCACCUGCUGGCAUGAAAAGCCGUCUG